ACAGCCAUAUCACAUUAAAACACUUGUUCUCAUCCAAUCACUGAAGUUAAGCAAUGUUGAACCUGGUCAGUACCUAAAUGGGUGACCAUUUGGGAAUAUCAGGUGCUGUA
Acanthosepion pharaonis is the source of this 110-nucleotide non-coding RNA. Lineage: Eukaryota; Metazoa; Mollusca; Cephalopoda; Sepiida; Sepiidae. The record is from the annotation of a GenBank genome assembly.